Molecule: ribosomal RNA, 408 nt
Filed under: uncultured rumen bacterium
Lineage: Bacteria
Description: bacterial SSU rRNA
Rfam family: Bacterial small subunit ribosomal RNA
Source: RNAcentral
CAGCAGCCGCGGUAAUACGUAGGGUGCAAGCGUUAGUCGGAAUUACUGGGCGUAAAGCGUGCGCAGGCGGUUAUGCAAGACAGAGGUGAAAUCCCCGGGCUCAACCUGGGAACUGCCUUUGUGACUGCAUGGCUAGAGUACGGUAGAGGGGGAUGGAAUUCCGCGUGUAGCAGUGAAAUGCGUAGAUAUGCGGAGGAACACCGAUGGCGAAGGCAAUCCCCUGGACCUGUACUGACGCUCAUGCACGAAAGCGUGGGGAGCAAACAGGAUUAGAUACCCUGGUAGUCCACGCCCUAAACGAUGUCAACUGGUUGUUGGGAGGGUUUCUUCUCUAGUAACGUAGCUAACGCGUGAAGUUGACCGCCUGGGGAGUACGGCCGCAAGGUUGAAACUCAAAGAAAUUGACGG